GGCACUUUAUUUUAGUCGAAUUUAACAAGAGAAACUGAAGUGAAAUUGGAAGAAUCACUAACUGCCACAUAAAAUUUCUUCACCAAAGGGGGUUGUUUCCUAAGAUUCCUUUAGGAUUAAAGAAAGUGUGAUUGCAGAGAAUAAAGAAAAAGGCUGGGCUUAUUUAUUUUUAUAACUUUAUGUAUCAACUUCAGACAAUGCUGGCGAAUUCCUUUCGCUGAAAGAUGAGAAUGUGACUAUUUCUUCCAUUUGACCCCCUCUGAUUUUUGUAGGUUAGGUGAUUAUUUUAAUAUUUUCCCGGUUUCUAACACAUACACGGUGCUCUGUAAUUAUGUGUUCUCUUAAUUAUUUAGUUUUAACUCUGUGUUUAAGUGGAUUCCACAUUCACUUGUCCGUCUCUUGUCAGAGAGUCCCUGGUCCUGACGGAUUUUGUUUGUUUUCAAAUCGUGAUUCAUCUCUCAGUUGGUAAGACUUCAUUGUAAAAUAUGUUUUUAAGAAGAUGCAUGAGACCAUAUGAAGAUGUCUGUCUGUUGCCUGGACAUUUGAAUGGCAUCUUGGCAGGCUACAGCCGUCUCAGGUUGACUGUCCUUCAGAACUCUGGAGACAGGACUCCAUUGUUUUAAGGCUGUGAUUGUUGUGAAGGAUUCUGAGGUCAGUCUGAUUGGUUUCUGUUGAGGCUGAUUUGUGUUUUUCUGGAUGCCUGGAGAUUUCUUUGUUUAUGCGUAAAGUUCAACAGCUUCUCCAGAGUUUGCCUUGGCACAGAGCCUUCAUAUCAAAAUCUGCAAGAACAUGGGGUGCUUUUAAUCUGCAAGUUCAACUCUGUGUGGGAAAUUUUUUUUGUAUCUAUCUUUGAGUACAUCUUCUGCUCUGCUCGUCAGUCCCCUACCCCAGGGACGCCGGUUAUUCUUAUGUUGGGUUAUCUUCAUCUCUGCCCCAAAUCUCUUCUCUGCUUGAAGAUUUGUGUCUUUCCCAUUUGCAUCACUGAGAUGACCUCCAGUCUUUCUUCUAUGUCAGCAUUUUGAUUUUCCGCUAUGUCUAGUCCUUUGAUUUUUAAAUUUAUGCUUUAAUUCUCUAAUUAUGAUGCUUUAGAGUUUGUGGAAAUGGGCAGGGAGAGAGGGGAAUGGAGUGAAAAGGAAGAGAACUCAGCUGCAGCAGCGUGCGGUCUGCUGGAGAAGCUUCCUUGCUCUCUCUCCCGAUGCAUCCUUGACGGUCGGAGCCAGGCCCCCCUCCCCCCAGCUGGCUGCGGGCUCUUGUACCUUCCCACAUGGCAUUACCCUCAGGGUUCAGACUGUUCUCCCAGUUCAUACAGUCCUAGAACCCUCGUAUCUGCUAGAGAAUCAGCUCUUUUUUUACCUUUCCCCCAUUCAGCCACCCUUCAAUCUCCCCAGACUGCCCCUUGACUCCUUGUAAAGUGUUCUAUUUACCUCUCAUGCUACUGGUCACAAAGAGGGGAAAAUAGCAAAAUCCAUUGACUCUCAUUGUUUUAAAUAGUCAUUUGAUCACCUGCCUUUUGAUGAGCACUUAUCAUCUUUGACUUGUCCUUCUCAUGCACUCGUUAAUCGUUUGUUGGUCACCUACUAUAAGCUGUGCUUUGGGGGAGACACUGAGAGUCCAAGGACAACUGGUAUAGUCUCUGCUCACAGAGGUUCUGGUUCAGUUCAUUACCAUCUCACAGUCAACAAGUCUUCUAAUGCUGUUAAUUACUCUCUCCUCCUCUCUACACCUGCCGUCCCUGCUCCCGGCCUCCAUUGUCUCUGACACUAGUCUAUUACAGCGACAGUCUCCUACGUAUUCUUUCUUCCUAAGACUUCCUUGCAACAAAUCUAGUCUGAAUAAUGUCUUUAGAUAAAUCUUUUCAAAAUCACUUUCUUCACGACUUUCCUCUGGCCAAGAACUUAUCAGUGACCCUUCCCUUCUAACCACACAGAGCUGAGCUCCCAAACACAGGUCUGCGUCCUGUGGCUCCAAGCUCUCCAGCUGCAGUGAAUACCGGGGAUCGGCUUGUUGCAGCGUUCCAGACCCUCUCUGGCAUUCCUUCCUAAACUGCACCGUGAAAGCUACACACCACGUUUUCCUGACUCUUGCACAGCUAGAGGUCCAGCUUUGAUUUCAGUUCCUCCUGUCGGACGCUCUCAGGGGAGAUUGUGAUUCACGACUGAGGGAUGUGAAAGAGAAACCCCGCACGAAGCAUCAGGUUUUGCUGGCAUGGAUUGCACAGGGGCAGUGGGUUCUGGUUUGGAAGCUGUGACUUCCUGGUUGGUAGGCAGCGUCUCAAUCUGGCAGCUUCCUGAUCAUGGCGGAGGCCUCGGCUCUCCCGGCAGUCCGGUUUUGCCCUGUGGUUAAGGGAAUCAUUCUUGGAGGCUCAGCUUAGAGACUGCUUGUUUAUCCUUUGCAUUCUCCGAGUAAUAUAUACUGCUAAGUCCUUCCUGCUUUAACUAGCUAGCACGGACGCUGGUUUCUGCAGUCAUUAACUCUGACCAGUAUACUACCCAACUUUAAUUAAUUCUCACUUUUCCCCAAACCUGUCAGGCUGAUCUCUCCGGCCCCAGAUGUACACCCUACUGAUCCCUGCCCGGCUGGCACCUCCACUCUCACUUUCCCCUGACCUGUAACUAUCUCCUCGGCGUCUCCAAGUCCAGCUCUAGGGCACCUGCGUCACCCCCGGAGCUUGCUCUGACCCCCGUGGUCCCCACUGGUCCUCUUCACCAGACGAGGAAGCACACACGGAGAGUCAGAGCAGCCUGCGCGUCUCAGCUUCUCCACGCCAACUUGUCGUCCCGAAGAAAUGAGUCUUGUUUCCUCCGCCAAGAAACGCGCAGGUUGGCCCCGCAUGAGCACUGUGUUCCCUUCCGAUCCUGAAGUUGUUCAGACUCUAAACCUCCAAGAAAAGCCACCUCGCAGAGCCACGCUGCUGUGGACCCAUCUUAGCUGCUUUUUGCUGCUCUGUCCAUGGAUGCAUUUGAAGGCGAAACCAGAUCCAGUGAGAGAUGAACGUGACUGAGAAGAGCAGGACACUGCAAACAUUUUCCAAGAGUGACAAAAAGAGCUGGGAGAGACGGGUGCGGUGAGAGAUGACAUGAGCCAGGUGCGUUUAACAGCACAACAAUAAAUAAUUACGCUGCCCUUUACAGAGCUGCGACGCGUGACCCUCCCAGUGAAGCCUCCCCGAGUUUCCUUCUGACGGCCCGCAGUCCAAGACUUCCCUGUCACACGUGUCACAACAGCUUUGUUUCUGCGUCUGCUUUUGUUUGCAGUUUGUACCCCAUGUGGUCAAAUUUCAUACUUCCAAAAUGAAAAAUAAAACUGCC
Equus asinus (donkey) is the source of this 3308-nucleotide long non-coding RNA. The record is from Ensembl. Lineage: Eukaryota; Metazoa; Chordata; Mammalia; Perissodactyla; Equidae.